RNAcentral lists this ribosomal RNA (601 nucleotides) under Arthrobacter sp. YIM 76402. Its description in RNAcentral is "bacterial SSU rRNA". It matches the Rfam family "Bacterial small subunit ribosomal RNA", at positions 82 to 696 of the family's 1533-position model. The record is from RNAcentral. Lineage: Bacteria; Bacillati; Actinomycetota; Actinomycetes; Micrococcales; Micrococcaceae.
UGCUGGUGGAUUAGUGGCGAACGGGUGAGUAACACGUGAGUAACCUGCCCUUAACUCUGGGAUAAGCCUGGGAAACUGGGUCUAAUACCGGAUAUGACCUUCCAUCGCAUGGUGGUUGGUGGAAAGCUUUUUGUGGUUUUGGAUGGACUCGCGGCCUAUCAGCUUGUUGGUGAGGUAAUGGCUUACCAAGGCGACGACGGGUAGCCGGCCUGAGAGGGUGACCGGCCACACUGGGACUGAGACACGGCCCAGACUCCUACGGGAGGCAGCAGUGGGGAAUAUUGCACAAUGGGCGCAAGCCUGAUGCAGCGACGCCGCGUGAGGGAUGACGGCCUUCGGGUUGUAAACCUCUUUCAGUAGGGAAGAAGCGAAAGUGACGGUACCUGCAGAAGAAGCGCCGGCUAACUACGUGCCAGCAGCCGCGGUAAUACGUAGGGCGCAAGCGUUAUCCGGAAUUAUUGGGCGUAAAGAGCUCGUAGGCGGUUUGUCGCGUCUGCCGUGAAAGUCCGGGGCUCAACUCCGGAUCUGCGGUGGGUACGGGCAGACUAGAGUGAUGUAGGGGAGACUGGAAUUCCUGGUGUAGCGGUGAAAUGCGCAGAUA